UACACUUUAGUAUAAGAUGAACAAAAGUUUUUGAUACUUUAGGAAAUAGUUUGAGCCUGUUAAGUGUAA
RNAcentral lists this transfer RNA (69 nucleotides) under Sympiezomias velatus. RNAcentral describes it as "tRNA-Gln". It matches the Rfam family "tRNA". Rfam says of the family: Transfer RNA (tRNA) molecules are approximately 80 nucleotides in length. Their secondary structure includes four short double-helical elements and three loops (D, anti-codon, and T loops). The record is from RNAcentral. Lineage: Eukaryota; Metazoa; Arthropoda; Insecta; Coleoptera; Curculionidae.